GUUUUUAUAUAGGGUUAAGUCCUCAUCUAGUGGCUGUCUACCAAACAGCCACUAGAGGGACGUCCGACUUCUUAGACAACUUUUAGUCACGCUAUGCAUGAGGACCUCCAGCGUCGCCGGAAUCCCCAUAGGAAAGCAUUGAAUAAUGCUUUCCUGUUGGGAGGUGUAAUGUGUGCGGCCAUUGCCACGCGUGUGCAUUAGGUCUUCCCCCGCCGGAGCGUGUGCAGAG
This is a non-coding RNA of Pelobates cultripes (western spadefoot toad), 229 nucleotides long. Lineage: Eukaryota; Metazoa; Chordata; Amphibia; Anura; Pelobatidae. The record is from the annotation of a GenBank genome assembly.